GAGGGGGCCUCACGGGGGGCUGGGGGGGCUCUUUGUGGUACCGGUGCCCGCCCGGGGGCUGCUCCGUGGUACCGGUGCCUGGCCCAGAGGGGGUCUCUGUGCUGCCCGGGGGGGCUUGGAGCACGGAGGUGUGGCUCAGCAGCACGAGCCUCGUUCAAAUCUCCAUUUAUUUUGCAGGUUUCCUGUCAGUAGUUAUUUUAGGGGUUGUUUUUUUUAAAAGGCCCACGGUUUUCAUCUCUGUUAGGAGAGUUGGUGUGUGAAUUUCAGUGUGCUGCUGGCUUGGGUUGUUACCUGUCAGGUAACUGGUUCGCUCGAUGGCAGCAGGGAAAAGGCGUAACCUGCCGGGUGGUUACUGGUGCCAGCGGUGUGAGUGUGCUGCAGGAAGUGCCCGCGGGUGCAAUUUGGCUAAGAAACCCACCUAGGAGCACGCUGUCAAGUAUUUCAACUGAAAAAAUAAGGUGAUUCAUCCAAACAUCUCAACACCACUGUCUGUGUGUACACAUUGUAUGCAUAUGUGCGUACAUGUACGUAUGUAUAUACAUAUAUAGAGACGUGCAGAGAUGUACGUAGGUAAGGAGCUAAGAAGGGGAGAGUUUAGCUUGAUCAGCAAAAUUAUGUAUUAAAAGCUUAUGCUUUUGUAUGUUUACCUUCAAUGGAGUAUUUUUAUCAUUUUCCCCUGCUCUUGGUGUAACUUGCACAAAAGCCGUCACAAUUCGUGUAAGGGCACUUGCUGUAUUAUCAUAACAAAGUUAUGGGCAAGAACACGCCUGUAGUCUGGCAAGGUGGGAGCUGGUUAAUCUGUUUAGACAAAGCAUACAGGGAAAUCUUACUGCUAAAAUCACUUCGGUGGUGACAGAGGCGUCAUCGUCUUAAGUUACGAGGCGAUGUGUAUCUAGGGAUGUCUGAGAGGAGGCUCUUGGGACUGAACGAGGGCUUUAACUCUGCUUUCAGUCAGACAUCAGACAGUCUUUAGUUUGCGAAGGUAAGGAGAUUGUUCAUGGUGCUACUGGGGAAGUGUCCUGAAAUUAGAUGCUUCAAUUUAAGCAGAAAGAAGGCUUCAAUAUGCUUGCUGGCUAACUUAUAAGUUAAAAUUAUGCAUGGGCUACUGAGAGUAAAUCCUGUGAGUCUUGUCAGUAUUUUAACUUUUCUCACAGCUGUAGAGCUGAAAAGAGAAUAACGGGGAUUUAAGCACCUGAGUAGCCUUGGCAGUGGUCUAUUCGUGUAUGCAAUUGGCCCUUCAGUAGCUUGUUGUUGUUAUUGUAUUGAGCAAGGCUGCUCUUGAGACUGGGAAUUUCAAGUAAACAGUUUCAAUAUGUAUUUACCGAGUGCUUUGAAAAGCAAAAUAGUUCUAAUUAUAUCUUUAGAUAUCUCUAAUUAUAGAAUAAUGCCAUGUAAUUAUAGUAUUCGUUGGGAAUGCUGCAGCAGAAAUGUUGUGUAAGCCGUGGUAAGACCUGUAAAUGCUCUACUGCAGGAGUUCUGUAUAAUAAUACGAACAUUUAGGGACAAAAUCCACUGAAAUCUCCCCAGCAGUUGCUAGGAGAAUCAUGCUUAACGACUGAAGUAUUGCAAAUGUCAGGAUAGCUCAUGAUAAUUGAAGCAGGUGGUAAGAAGAGUUUGCGGAAAAAGGAGCAUGCAAGUUCUGCUCAGUCAAACCUUAUUUGGAGAAGAAUCUGCUUUCUGCGUUGCACAGGAUGCAGACAGAAAAGGAAUAUUCCACUAAAACCGAGACAAGAGGGCAAGCUGUUAAAUUUUGAAGGAAGAACAUGGAUAGAAAUUAUUGUAUUUUCUGUGUUGCCACAGCAUCCCAUUCAUCAAUCGUUCUCCCAUCCCUCUCCCAUUUAAAUACCUCUCGUUGCUACCACGUGUCACCAAAGUUUCUUUGAAGCUCAAUUUCUGAGAGGAGCUUCAAACCAGAAUUUAGAUUUCACCAGGACAGUAGGGUUUCAGAUGCGGUGCCCCACAUGCAGUGCAGAUUUAACUUUCAGCUCCUUCUUUUUUCAUUAAACUACUGCACUGCCAGUUACAUAGCUAAUCAAAUAAUUUGUGAUUAUGAUCAGUUUUCACAGAGUUAAAUGGGUGGCAGACUUGUUCUUUGUGUCUCUCACCAGCUUCUAGAGUGUUCUUUCAGUUCUGUGACUUUAUUUAAGGUAGAUUUGCUGAUGGAAGUAAUGGAACUUGGAGCGUAACAACCUGCACAUUUCAAGCGAUGAUUCCAGCAGAGGACUGAACUUUCAGAAGUACAGUCAUGAUGUUGGGGUUAAUACUGAAUUUGUAGAAUAAUUGGAGUAAACUAGUGGAGUCGUCUUUAGCUGAAUUAUUUUGUAACGAAGUUCUGGCCUUUGGGGAGGAUUUUUUCCACUAAUAAGCUGCUGUUAUUCCCAAGUCUUGUUUUAAAGCCAAAUCUGGUAUUGGCACAAGAAUGAGAGAAGAAAUGUGAAGAUUACCAGCACGCAGAGGGAGGAGCAUGGAAAAUCUUGUAUCAGAGACUGACUCAUGCAGGAGAUUGUGCUGGAGAGCUACCUUCCUAGUAUCUCUGACUGCUCAACAUGUUAAUGCUAAGCUAAAAAUUGUGAGAAAUGUGUUGGGAAAGCCUGCUGCUGCACAAAUGCAGUGUCCUCAGAUGUUGAAUCACUUGUGCUGUUUGAUAAUCCGACCUCCUGAAGGAUUUGAAUGGCCCUCUCGACAAGACAUUUAGGAGACCAGAACUGGGGAACUACGUGUGCCUCGUCCUGGGCGUCUGCUGCUCUGAUGGCAGAGGCAUGGUGCUGGAGCUGCCUGUGCUUGACCUGACCCGGUCUGUGGUUUUUUUCACGUUAAAAUGAACGUACAGCAGCUGGUUCCUCUCCUGAGGCUUGGAAUUGUGCCUCGUCUUGAGCUAAUACUGAUAACUCUGACAGCUUCUAGCCUGUUAAACAUGGAGCCUGGUCGCUCGUCCUUUCAAGUGACCAAGAGCGUAGAGUACUGCGUGGAGUUCUCCGGGCUGCCCUUCUGCGAGCAGCAUUGUCACUGCUAAAGCACAGUGACACAUUUGGUGUUAGAGCAUGCUCCUGUAAGUAAGUGCUGUUCUGGAACACAGAGGAUGUUCGUAAUGGUGCGAAAGAGGUAAUGAUUUAACAGCACCUGAUGGAAUGGAGAUAUGUCACCUGUGGAUCAAAAUGACCUCGGUUCUUGCCUUGCUCUGUUACAAGUGUCAAGUGCACGGAGUUACUGGAGACGUUAAAAAAACAGCCGACGCUUCUGAGCUCUGUUAACUCACACACCAUUGUAGGGGGUGGAUAAUGACUUUCAAGUCUUACUUCUGAUAAAAGGAACGUACGUUGUGAAUAAAAAGCCACUGUAGCAUUCAGUUUUAGAUGUUGGGAAACUACACGCCUCUAAAGACUUCGUCUUGGAUUUCUUGAAUCUGUCUUCUGAGAAUGUGAGGAUCUUUUUGAGGGCGUAACUUUUCAAAUCGUUUUCAAAGCUGUAACUACAAAUAGAAAUGAAGCAGGCUGUCAUCUUAAACAGAGGGGGAAUUUGAGUUAGUUGUAAUAUGCAGUAAGGUGUCUUAAAGAUUUCUUUUAAAACUUCCUUGAAGUUAGUUCAGGCCGGUGUGCGGUUUGUUUUACGUUUAAAUAAGAGUGAGGCUUGGGUGUGGCAGAAGUAGGCCUGCCACAUGUCUUUGCGAUACUGCUCUGAAUCACACCAGCUGACUGCAGCUUUAUUUCCACAGCAGAACACUUGGCUGCUUCAGGGAUGGGGAGCCACGAGGCAGUGCCAGGAACAAGUUGGUGGUGUCGGGCUGGUGUUUUUAGCUUACUGUGCAAACAGUUCUUCAUUAACACAGUUCGUUUUACGCAGCCUUUUAUAUCAAAAAAAUAAAUUCUGAGCUGACCAAUAGUCAGUUCUUAUAAAUUAAACUCUUUCUUGUAAAGACAAGUUCCCUAGAGAACUUCUGAGCAAUUUAUGACCCUUGCCCUUCAUUGUUUUUGCUGAUGUUUUAUUUCUUUUUUUCCCUGCUAAGACUGCAGUCUGUCUUCUUGCUGUGUUUGCUGUUUGUUUUUAGAUAUUUGAAGUAAAAAAAAAUAAAAAUCAGGUGUGAUUUAUAUGAUUUAGAUAAGGAAGAUUUUUGUCCAAGUCCCCUUCCCACUCCUCUGUUCCAACUGCUUGCUAAAUGACUUGGUUCGUGGUGUGUUUUAACAAGUUUUAGGACAUUUGUGACAGAAUUAGGGGAUGAAUUAGCCUCUCGUGUAGAGAAAUUAGUCUUUUGUGGUUUUUUUUUGCAUUUGUUUGAUGUAGAAAACUUCCCCACACCUUAAACCUUAAAAGUCUGAGCAAGUGCUUUGAAUCUUACACUCCAGGCUUCUCAACCACCUCAAAGCUUGUGGGGUAAGAUGAGAGACUAGAGCUGUGGUCCGUGGACUGAAAUUGAAUACUUGAUGUCCUUAAAGCUGCUACAAGGCCAACAAGAUGCUUAAUGAACUGGUGCACAUGGAAAAAGCUUUCACUGGGCUCUGACCUUGCAGCUACAGAUGGUGACUUGAGGACGCUGCCUGUCGUGGAGGGCUGGAACUUGUUAGCUUUCCAUUAGCAGCAAUUUAUUGACUUCCAGAAUAACUUAGGGUCAGACUGAAGUUUUUGGUGUUUUAGGCUGGAGUUUGCUCUCGAAUAUGACGGGAUUUCAUGAGGAUGAGAGGGUGGCACGUCGGCAUCCUGCAGGUGCUUUGAGCAGGGGGACCGCAGGCUUCAGGCACGCGUUGAGUUCCUCCACCUGCUCUCAGGAGGGAGCAAGAGGAGGCUUCAAGUAGGGUUUAAUGUCACCCUACAAGGACGUCUCACCUGGGAACUUGAACAAGAAAUUGCACCUGUGGGUAGGAAGCUGAAGUGUCUAUUGAUGCGGUAAUAUGGAAAAUUCCAACUACUAAAUGCAGAAUAAUGAUGCCUUUAAUGUAUUUGUCUGCCUGUAAUACUGUUUUUGGUGGCUGGGCAGCCGGACAGAGUUGUUAGAUGUGCUGUGAGUAUCUUAUCAAAUUAAGGCUGAAAAAUAAACAGUUCUCACUUAAAAUCCAGAUAAUUCAGUGUGGGAGGAAAGUCUUGUCAUAGCUGAGAUUCUUCUGGACUUGCAGUAUUUCUUUAUAAUACUUGUUUACGUAUUGUUGUACGGUGUUUGUUUUUUAAAUCCCUCCCUUGUGGAAGCGUGGCUCCCUUUGCUCUCAAGUGCUGCCCUCGCACCUCUACAGCCGCUCUUCCAGAUGUUUGCCAUCCAGCCCUGGUGCUACUUCACCCCAAGCUGUGCUGGAAGCUCAUGGGGACUGCCGGCCUUCCUGUGCUACAGGGACGUGUAACCAGAUGCGAGGCACUGUCACCAUGGUAAAGCAAGUGCCAGCAUUUUCUGUGCUGAUUGGAGCUUUACAUUUAUGCAUAGGUUUCUCUUCAGUCACUUACAAGACUUGAGACCCAAAGCAUGACCCUUUAUUUUUAUUUUUUUUUAUGUAUGCAGUAAAUGCCUUUUUUAGGAAUAAGUGCAUAGUUCUGUUUACAUUUCUGGGGAGAAGAGCGCAAGACUCAGGUAUAAUAGUUAAUUGCAGGCAGUUACUAAGCUUGAAUUAAAAUGAUAAAUUUGAAUAUGUUUUAUAAAUGUUGUACAAAUGGCUCUGAGAUAAAGUAUUUUGGAGAUGGUGUAAAGCUGUGUUAUUGUGACACCUUUCUUGUAAGAGGAAGCUGUAGUGCGGUGGUGGCCUUCCACCGCUGUCACAUUUCUGGUGCAGCGUGUCGGCAGCGUUCCUGUAGCACAGAGAGCAAACCUGUGCUGUGCCUUGGUUUAGUAGCAUCACUGCCUUUAGGAUAGCAACUGGAGUGAUACGUUGGAGCAAUGUGCUUUUGGACAUCAAAUUACUGCUUUCUAGCACAAGUGCAUUCACUAAUCUCGCCUUUUAUCCACCCUACUGUAGCAGCAGCUUAGUAGGGCUUGUACGGCUACCUGCCUUAUCACUGAAAUGUUGAAAAUUGCUUUGUUGUUAAGGUGCGUGUUCAAAAUACAGGGCUCUAGCACAUGUGGCCUGUGGCUCCUGUUCUGGUACCAUCCCCAGCUCGUCUGCCUGCCAGAUUUGGUUCCUCCUAAGGCGUUAGAUGGAUCGGGAGCUGCUGAGGUGCAAACAUAUGUUCCAACCUGUGGUGCCAGCGAGGUAAAUGCUGGCAGGGAGGCAGUAACAACCAGUCAUGAGGUUUACCAUUUCCUCGUAGCUGUAUGUUUAAUGAGUGCAUGUCCAACUCGUCUUGUAGUGAACUGCUAAAACUAUUGCUGGAGGAAAGACGCGUUUAUUUGACAGAAGAGCUUUGAACUACAACCUGAGAAAGCAGACGUGGUGUUUGGUGAAGCUGCAAUUAUGUGAACUUGUAGCUGUCAGCGUACAAAUAACUUCGAUCAGCAGUGUGUGAGAUAAAGGUGUACCUAGUGCACGCCCUGUUGCAAGCUGCUGGCUUGUCAGAUACCCCUGGACUUCAUGUGGGACCCCCGGUCGCGUCAGAGCAUGUGUAGCUACAUCUUUUUUCCCCAACAGGGAUGAAUUAUAAAUACUGAGAUAAAGCAACAAGUACCCAAAUACAAGUUAACUUAGUUUCGU
Molecule: long non-coding RNA, 6602 nt
Organism: Cygnus olor (mute swan)
Lineage: Eukaryota; Metazoa; Chordata; Aves; Anseriformes; Anatidae
Exons: 3
Source: RefSeq, a predicted model, not a curated record